GUACUCUCUUUGGCAGCAUGUAUACUGAAAUUGAAAUGACACAGAGGAGAUUAGCAUGGCCCCUGUGCAACGAUGACACGCAAAUUUGUGAAGCGUUCCAUAUAAUA
Small nuclear RNA from Rhinopithecus bieti (black snub-nosed monkey), 107 nucleotides. The record is from Ensembl. NCBI's taxonomy places the organism in Eukaryota, Metazoa, Chordata, Mammalia, Primates, Cercopithecidae.